Molecule: ribosomal RNA, 1539 nt
Filed under: Triticum aestivum (bread wheat)
Lineage: Eukaryota; Viridiplantae; Streptophyta; Magnoliopsida; Poales; Poaceae
Description: partial small subunit ribosomal RNA
Source: RNAcentral
AUGGCCAUCUCACUCAGCUUGGUCCUCUCCCCACCGCAACAAUGGCAGCUCCUCCUCCUCCUCCUAGCACUCGUCUCCCUCGGGCUCUUGACGAGGAGAAAACUGAGCAACAAGGGGCUCAGGCUGCCGCCGGGCCCGGCCCAAGUGCCGUUCCUGGGGAACCUGCACCAGGUAAGCCAGCUGCCGCACCGGAGCCUACGGGAUCUGGCGCGGCGGCACGGGCCAGUGAUGCAGCUGCAGCUCGGCACGGUGCCGACGGUGGUGGUGUCGUCAGCUGAGGCAGCGCAAGAGGUGAUGAAGACCCACGAUGAGGAUUGCUGCACCCGCCCCAUGUCCCCAGGGAUGAAGCGUCUGUCCUACGGCCUCAACAAUGUCGGGUUCGCGCCCUACGGCGCCUACUGGCACGCGAUGCGCAAGUUCCUCGUGGUCGAGCUCUUUGGCGUGCGCCACGCUAAAGCUGCAUGGAACGCACGCCAGCAUCAGGUGGAGAGACUGAUGAGCACCUUGAGCGGCUUGGUCGGAGAGCCGGUAGCCCUGAAGGAGCACGUCUUCAGCCUGGCCGAUGGCAUCAUCGGCAUGCUGGGUUUUGGAGACAUGUACAACAACGACAAGUUCCCACACCACAAGAACUUGGAGCACGUGCUCGAGGAGGCCACACAUGCGCAGGCAAGCUUCUCCGCUGAGGACUACUUCCCCAACAUCAUCGGACGCCUAAUCGACCGAAUCACCGGUCUCACCGCUCGCCGCGAGCGGAUCUUCAAGCAUCUUGAUGCCUUCUUCGAGAUCAUCAUUGAGCAGCAUCUUGACCCUCGGCGCGUUAAGCCUCAGAACGGCGGCGGUGACCUCGUCGACCGCCUCGUCGACCUCUGGAAGGACAACCGUGGCACCACGCUCGGUAUCACGAGAGACCAUGUCAAGGGCCUCAUCUUUGGUACGUUCAUUGGUGGCUCGGACGCGGCCUCGGUGACGAUCCUUUGGGCAAUGGCGGAGCUAAUCCGAAAGCCCCAUCUGCUGAAGAAGGUGCAAAAGGAGAUCAGGGACGUGGUGGGCAGCAACGAGAGGGUGCGACCGAACGACAUGCCCAAGAUAGGAUACCUCAAGAUGGUGGUCAAAGAGACACUGCGGCUGCACCCGCCGGCGACGAUGUUGUUGCCUAGGGAGGCCAUGCGGGACAUCCAGAUUGGUGGCUACGACGUGCCAGCAAAGACAAGGAUCUAUGUCAACGCCUGGGCCAUUGGCAGAGACCCGAUGAGCUGGCCAGAUGACCCGGAAGAGUUUAAGCCAGAUAGGUUCGAGGCGAGCGAGAUAGACUUCAAGGGCGCGAAUUUCGAGCUGAUACCGUUCGGCGCAGGGCGGCGCAUGUGUCCCGCCCUGUCCAUGAGUGUGGCCACCGUGGAGUUCACGCUGGCGAACCUGUUGUGCUGCUUCGAGUGGGCGCUCCCGGAUGGGACGAUGGUGAGUGUGGAGGAGCAAGGCAAGGUUAUCCCCCUCCUCAAGACGCCGCUCGUGCUGGUGCCCACCCCGCACGGGCGCGUGUGA